This 484-nucleotide ribosomal RNA is filed under the name uncultured bacterium. RNAcentral's name for it is "partial 16S ribosomal RNA". It matches the Rfam family "Bacterial small subunit ribosomal RNA", at positions 30 to 507 of the family's 1533-position model. The record is from RNAcentral.
AUUGAACGCUGGCGGCAGGCCUAACACAUGCAAGUCGAGCGGAUGAAGGGAGCUUGCUCCUGGAUUCAGCGGCGGACGGGUGAGUAAUGCCUAGGAAUCUGCCUGGUAGUGGGGGAUAACGUCCGGAAACGGGCGCUAAUACCGCAUACGUCCUGAGGGAGAAAGUGGGGGAUCUUCGGACCUCACGCUAUCAGAUGAGCCUAGGUCGGAUUAGCUAGUUGGUGGGGUAAAGGCCUUCCAAGGCGACGAUCCGUAACUGGUCUGAGAGGAUGAUCAGUCACACUGGAACUGAGACACGGUCCAGACUCCUACGGGAGGCAGCAGUGGGGAAUAUUGGACAAAGGGCGAAAGCCUGAUCCAGCCAUGCCGCGUGUGUGAAGAAGGUCUUCGGAUUGUAAAGCACUUUAAGUUGGGAGGAAGGGCAGUAAGUUAAUACCUUGCUGUUUUGACGUUACCAACAGAAUAAGCACCGGCUAACUUCGUG